UGGAGUGGGCAUCAAGAAAUUGAUCGUUUGUGGACCGUUGGAUUAAUGGAUCGGGUUAGUCGCGGGUUUGGUCAUGGGUAGCCACCCCUACUUUGAAAGUAUAAAGCUGGUCAUGGGCCGAAUUCGGUAAACAAAUGCAAAUAAAAUUUAAGCCCAAAACCCGGGCCAUAAUUAAGAAGGGGGCAAAAUCUACCGUACUGGCCUCAUGUUACUAUAGCUGCGCUGGCCUCAUCUGCGCCGUUAAAUUCAGCAACGUGCCAUUCUGGCGCAAAGUGGUCGCACGGAUCUCGCGCCCUCCGAGAUACAUGCCUCCCCCUUUCUCCGCCCGCUACUCGUUUGCGAAAUUGCCUCUGAGAGAAAGCGAGACAUGAGUUCGCUGGGGUUGUGGUUGAUGCGGGUGGGCUCGCUUCGCCUCGCCUGUGUCUGGUUCGGAUUCUCGGACAUAUGGGCUCUCCUCCUCGCUGUCUUUUCCCAAACCCAGAGUGUAUUCUCUCUCUGCCCCAGAGUAUAGAUCGAUGCAGUUCGGCAAAUCUCCUGUCAAUGUUCUCUUAAUUUUCAAAUCUUACGACCAUUGGAAUAUUUUUCAGGUUAGGUUUUAUCCUGUGGAUAUGGAUCUAGCAACUUUAUGAGGGCACCUGAAAGCAUAUUUCUCAAUGCACGGUAAUAUGAGAUCGAACUUCAGGGUACUGUAAUCUUUCAUCUUGUGCUUUAUCACUGUCAAAUGAUAGUCGUUUUAUAUCUCCUUUCACAGUUACGCAAUUAAAAUUAAUUUGCUAGUUUGUCUCUCAUUCUUAGAGUUUUUGUUAGCCAUAAGGCCAUGACACAACUACAUCUUGAUUUAGCUUUGCUUCCUUAACCUUCAAUAUUGACCUUCAGUUAAUCCCUUGGAAGAUGAGCCAUCAUUGAGUAGUCAAACUCCUCGACAAUCCAGAGUCUUGCUUUCUCAAUAAGUGCCCAUAUAUAGAGCAAAUCUCCAACUAAGUCUGAUAUCAUCAAUAGGCUUAGGAGUAAGGAAAGACUGUGACCAGAAAGCUGUUAUGGAAUAUAGUGUUUUACAUGCCCCUUUCCCUCUUAAAGUGGAGGCACAAUAAUGGCCUUUUUUUUUCCUUCCGCCCUUAAACAUUACAGUGGUGACUCAGGUCUCCCUAUUUCAUCAUAACAUACCCCUCAGCUAACAAAUUAUUCAAAGUUAUCCUGAAACUUCAUUACCCAGCAAAUUAGAGUCUUAAGGGUUUUGGGCAUAAACUCUCUCCAACUCGGAAGAAAUCUCUUUUGUCUCCACCAUCUGCUUUUUCAUAAGAUCCUUUUGAUCCAGAAUAGAGCAUGCAUAUCCUUUAGUCUUUAAGGUCUCCACCCAUGAACCCCAUCAAUUUAUUUAGUUUUCACCUACACAUUUGCAUAUGCACAGGUAAAAGAACCAAAACCAAUUUAUCUAUCUACACAUUUUUAGAGGUGGGCAUUGGGCUGGGCCGCCCAUGGCCUGGCACGGCCCAGCACGAAG
This is a non-coding RNA of Phoenix dactylifera (date palm), 1501 nucleotides long. NCBI's taxonomy places the organism in Eukaryota, Viridiplantae, Streptophyta, Magnoliopsida, Arecales, Arecaceae. The record is from RefSeq and is a predicted model, not a curated record.